Molecule: long non-coding RNA, 3943 nt
Organism: Mus musculus (house mouse)
Lineage: Eukaryota; Metazoa; Chordata; Mammalia; Rodentia; Muridae
Product: predicted gene, 30141
Exons: 2
Source: RefSeq, a predicted model, not a curated record
GGAGGCGGAGCCUCGGAGAAAGAGCCCGUCAAUCAGGCUGUUUCAGCCGGGAAGAGAACGUGGACGCUCGAGGGGAAAUGGUUUAUUCCUUUACUGGUGUGUCUGGGGCUGGAAAAACCGGACUGCAGCUUCCCCAUACCUAAGAUUUACCACUUUUAUGAGGCAAAAGUAGAAACCGAACCAGUGGCUGCGCCUGCCACACUGGAAGGCAAACUCUUGCCAUUCAGGGACUUCCUGGAGUUUCCGGGGCUGCAGGGACUGGCUCUGCACAGAAUCACCAGAUGCCCUUUUUAGGACUGCAUUGGGUGCUCAGGUGUAGCUGAGCUCUGUUAAACGUUCAGAGAAGUGUGCACACGCUUGACAGACAGCCCCCAAUACCUGCUGGGACUCGUCGCCAAGCUGACAGGUGGUUCUGAAAACACACGCAAGAAAAAAACGUUGUUUGUGCAAAAACUAAAAAUUCAUAAGUCAUAUCAAUGUUUGUGCCUCCAUGACACCACUUCAGCUCUGGAGAACAAACUGCAUGGAACUCCUCAAAAUACAAAUCGCCAGUCUAGGCUGCAGUGACAAACACAAAAAAUCUGCUGCAAAUUAAGUAUACAGCAUUCUCUCCAAGGAUGGGCAGAGGCUACUAUCAAUCACAACCUUUCUGGUUGUUAAAGAAAAAUUCCAUCCAGAAAGAAGUCAGCCAUGCACAAGGAGAAGAAGGAGAAACAUUUCAUUGGUGAGCAGGGAAGCAAGCUGAGGUUCUGAAAGGGUUUAGGCCAGCCCAAAUUUCUUACCGUUUAUAGGUCAGGAGGCAACACUGCCUGCCUAGGGGACCAUCUCAGAGUGGUCUCUGAAUCCCUUAAUCAUUAAGGGAGUUUAGUUAGGAGUGUUUACAGCAACAUAAAUUGCAGAAACAAAUGGUUUUAUAUAAGAAUACAUUAUAAUUUCAAUAAUAUGUAUCAGGCAGGUAGCAAUAAAAAGGCAUACAGGAAUUGCAAAUAACAGUAGUCUUGGACUGUAAAAGAACUUUUCUCUUAGCAAACUGUAAGAGGAGGUUCAGCAUGACCUUAGUCCUCUGUGACAACCUUCCCUUCAGGCAGUUUUGGCAAAUGUUUGUUUUCCAGAUAAAGGGUGGGUGGUUUUUUUUUUUUUUUUUUUUUUUUAACAAGGCAGGACUCAACCUACCUAAGUAAAACUUUAAUCCAAUUGACUCCUACAUAACCAGACACCAAGCUAUCAUAAAAUUAUACAGACAUACAUUCAUACAUGAAUAUAUAUAGUUUUUGAAGGAAUACCCUAUAGCUAGAGAUCAGCCUCUCUGACAGAGACACAUAACCCUUCACCAUAUGUGGGGAGCAGCUUUCAAAGCUGCCGCUUGGCACUCUUUCCCAGGGAGCUCUGGGAUGAGACCCUCUGGUCAUCGAUAUACAGUGCUGCCUCCUGUAAACUCCCUUGGCCCCAGAAGAACUGCCUUCCCUUGUUGUGGAGACGCUUUCCCCACAUAGUGAGGUCAGUGACUUGCCUUCAUUUGCCUCUUUAGGUUAGCUGAUGGGGAUGCAGACGGUCCUGCUUAUGGAGAUAAAGGUUGCCACAGGGGAUGUCAUAAAAGUCCAGGUGUAGGACUGGAGGUGUAGCUCAGUAAUAGUGUGGUUUGCACAAUGGAUACCCUGCAUUCCAGUGCCAGUUCUAGAAAAGGCAAAUUAAGUUGUUCCUGGUUUGAUGAUUCCAAAGUUAAUUUACCUCAACCUCUACUCAGUGGCAGACUUCUUGGGAGACAACACACUGGAAUGUUUUCCCCUACUCUUGCUCUGAUUUGGAAUUCAUUCCACACUUUUUCCUUGGGAUUCUCAAGUCAGCAAGAUCAAAUUUCAGCCCCUGAUGGCAGGGCUGUGGGGCUCCUGCUAGGCUGGAGGCUGGGGACUCUGAUUAAUGGAACCUCCUUGAGAGUGAUUUGGCAGUUCAGAAGUCUUCUCAGUGUAUGUGCCCUCAUGACACUUCCACAGUCCAGGGGAACAGACUACAGGUUUCCAAAGAGCUAGCCAUGCCUGUAAUCUCAACACUGGCUGACCUGCUUCAAAACAGUUGUUCAAAGACUUUUCUGAUCUGACUGAGAUUAUAUACCUAAUAUGUGGGGAAGGUUCAGCUACUUUGGCAUGGAAUAGGGGAACUGACCCUAUUCCUCUGACGAUCUGUACUCUCUACAGUUGUUAACUCAGAAGUGGAGAAAACUGAAGCUCCCCAAAUUCCAGGCAAUACUGCCGGCUUCUCUAUGCUGGUCAGCCAAGUGUUAAAUAACCACAGACCAGACCUUUCAAGAAAUGAAGAUAAGUGGCUGGACCUGGUUAAAUGAAGACCCGAAUUUGGAGUGACCUGGUGACAUGGAAGGCCUCCCUCAUUGUUCUGGUUAAUUUUUACCAGCUUGGUGAAAGCUACAGUCACCUGGGAGGUGGAACCUCAAUUGAUACAGCAUGAAGGUUCCCACCAGAGGCCUGCACCAUGACCUUGGACUUUCUGACUUCCAGAACUGUGAGCCAAAGGUAAUUUAUUCUAUCCAGUAUAAAUUACCCAGGUUGUGGUAUUCUGUUACAGCAGCCAAAGCCAGACAAAUACAUUUGUCCAUGACUUUCGCAGCAAAGCAAAAGGAUCUAACACUGCGUGCUCUAUCUGCAGAAUGCUUGGAUGCUCAUAGGAGGUAUUUGUUCUCACGAGGAAGAAUUACUUUUAUUACUGUUGUUAUUAUUGUUGUUUUUAAAGUUUCAUCUAAUUUUAUGUGCAUGACUGUUUGGCUGCAUGUGUGUACUUGCGCACAUGCAUACCCUGUGCCCACAGAGCUCAGAAGAGGGUGUCAGAGCCCCUGGAACUGGAGUUACAGAAGAUUGUGACCACCAUCUGGGUUCUGGAAACUGAAUCUAAUCCCUCUGCAAGAACACUUAGCAAACUCUCUAGCCCCAGGCAAAACAUGUUUUGUUCUUAUUUCAAAACCUGAAAGCAGCUUUCUUGUGACUAAGUCAGAGAACUUGGCCUUCAGGUCAUGCUGGACACCUGUCAUUUCCCACCGAACCCAAAGCUUUUCUGGCAGCCACCCCCAACUGCUUCAAGCAUCCCUCACAUUUCAACUUCUCUAAAACAGGUCCCAUCUGCAUGACUGGAACCUUCACACCAAGCCUUUCUCCAAGCUCCUGCCUGGGAUGAUGGCUGUUGAUCCUAUUAUGACUGCCAUGCUUUUAAAGUGUGGUUUGGAGUCAUCUCAUCUCUGUCUUUUUCUUUCUUUUUAAAGAUUUUAUUUAUUUAUUAUAUGUAAGUACACUGUAGCUGUCUUCAGACAUUCCAGAAGAGGGCACCAGAUCUUGUUACAGAUGGUUUUGAGCCACCAUGUGGUUGCUGGGAUUUGAACUCAGGACCUUCGGAAGAGCAGUCAGUACUCUUAAACGCUGAGCCAUCUCUCCAGGCCUCAUCUCUGUCUUUACCUGAGGCAGUGUUGUUAAUAGUCUGAACUCACUCUUCUGAACUUUUAAAUGGUUGAAGACUCUGAUAUGGUUUGAAAAGUGAGUCACUCUCAAACAACAAUCUCUUGCACUUGAAAGUUUCCAAAAAACUUCAAGCUCUUAAUUAAUGGAAAAUACUAAAAUCAUAAAAUGUCCGCUUAGUUAACUGUAGUGCUGGGAGCUGAACUCGAGGCCUUGUGGGUGCCAGGCAGGUACACUGCCAGUGCACCAUGUCCCAACCCCACGACGGUCAAAACUGUUCAAGUUAGGAAGCCUCUGUAACUAUGACACAAAACCUGGAAGCCACAAGACAAAUUUGUAUGUGAUUAUAGAUUUGAUCAGUUUAAAUAAAACAUUUUAAUAUACAUUAAAGACCUGCCAGAAAGUAAAAUAGGAGUGGCAAAGGAAAAAAAAAAUGUAUACAUCUUACCACAAUGGGUUAAUCUCCUUAAUAAAGAUCCUAAAAAUCA